UGGACAGAUUAUUGUAUUCGACUGUCUUCAACUAUAUUCACGGCGUGAAACAGGGGAUUACACUGUCUUUAAACGGAAAGUGAACCAAUUAACAUAAUAGACUCCU
This 106-nucleotide microRNA precursor is filed under the name Nicotiana attenuata. RNAcentral describes it as "MIR6152 microRNA precursor family". It matches the Rfam family "MIR6152 microRNA precursor family". The record is from Rfam by way of RNAcentral. Lineage: Eukaryota; Viridiplantae; Streptophyta; Magnoliopsida; Solanales; Solanaceae.